AUGCCACUUCUGAUGCCAGACGGAGAGGCAAACUCAAGAUUCAGGCUUCCUAUGAUCCUGCUGAGGAUUUCCACAGUGGAAUGAAACUUGUUCUACCCCAGGAGGCAAAAAACAUUGACGCGAGGGCUGCUAUGGCGAAUAACCAGGUUAUUGAAGCCUCCCCCAGGGGAAUAUUGGAUUUCCUGAGCGGUAUCAGAGACAUUAUUGCAAACCUACUUGGACUGCAGAAAAAAGAAUAAAAUAAAACUCCUCCACUACAAGAGCAUAAACCUGAAGCUGACGGGGGACAGUAUGGAGCAGCGUGCGCCCUUCAAGACCCAUCCCACGGCCACUUUCCUCUCUACAGACUGAAAUUGGACAGGACUGCAGACACUCCGGC
Talpa occidentalis (Iberian mole) is the source of this 379-nucleotide long non-coding RNA. RefSeq lists it as uncharacterized. The transcript has 4 exons. NCBI's taxonomy places the organism in Eukaryota, Metazoa, Chordata, Mammalia, Eulipotyphla, Talpidae. The record is from RefSeq and is a predicted model, not a curated record.